UACGUAGGGGGCAAGCGUUGUCCGGAUUUAUUGGGCGUAAAGAGCGCGUAGGCGGCUUUACAGGUCCGUUGUGAAAACUCGAGGCUCAACCUCGAGACGCCGGUGGAAACCGUAAGGCUAGAGUCCGGAAGAGGAGAGUGGAAUUCCUGGUGUAGCGGUGAAAUGCGCAGAUAUCAGGAAGAACACCCGUGGCGAAGGCGGCUCUCUGGGACGGUACUGACGCUGAGACGCGAAAGCGUGGGGAGCGAACAGG
Molecule: ribosomal RNA, 253 nt
Filed under: uncultured bacterium
Lineage: Bacteria
Description: partial 16S ribosomal RNA
Rfam family: Bacterial small subunit ribosomal RNA
Source: RNAcentral